AUACUACUACUACUACUACUACUACUACUACUAAUAUUAAUAAUGUAUAUUCAAAAAAUUGGAACCUAUCGUUUAAAAAUAACGAAAAUGGUGAUGUAAAACAACAAUAUAAUAAAACAGAAAAGGAGCUAUUUUUAUAUGGUAAUAAUUUUUUUUCUAACACUGAACAUGAAAAUACAAAUUCAUCUAAUUUUGUAAACCCAAAUUUAAAAGAUUUGAACUUACAAAACGUUUUAGUAAGUAAUAAUAUAGAUAACACACUGGACAUUUUUUUAAGUGGUUUACGUAAUAGUUUCUAUUUACACAAAAAUGUAAAACAAUCAGAUGGGUAUAACAGAAUGAGUAAUUAUGGACAUAGUAGAAGUAUAAACAGUUUAAGAAACAUUGAAUUAGAAAAUGACAUAUGUACGAAUAAGUUCAUAGGAGCACCCUUUGAAAAUAAACACACCGACAUACAUACAUAUCAACAUCCGAACAUCCACACAUAUCAACAUACAGAAAUGUACCCAUAUCAACAUGAUACUCACCAACACCAAGAUAUAUAUACUACAUAUCAACAUACAGACUUAAACACCCAUCAACAUAUAGAUAUGUACACAUAUCAACAUACAAACAAUUUCACAAAUAAGCAUACUGAUACGAUACCAGAGGUAAGAAAUUAUAUAUAUGACAGCGCAGUUCACGAAAUCAUAUAUAAAAUACGAAUUCAUAGCAAUAAAAUUUUUACAGAUGUAUUCAUGAAUAGUGAUUCAAAUAAAAAAAAAAAACUAAACGAACUAAAUAAAUAUUUAUCCAUAAUAAUACCAAGAAAUGAUAUAAAUUUUUUUAUCGGUUUGAGUAAAUUUUAUGAAUUCUUUAAUAUAUUAUUUAAUUCAAAUUAUAUAUAUAAAUAUAAUUCAUAUAUUUUGUAUAAUUUAUGUGUCGUAAUUAAAAAUUUGUUACAACUAUUAAAUAUAGGCAAAUAUAUUUUUUAUAUAAUCAAAACAUGUAUGCAGUGUAUAGUUAAAUUAAUUGUUAUAAAACCUGUAUCUAUAACAGAUAAAGCUUGGUUUGUUUUAUUAAAUGUGUACAAAUGUUUGUUUCAAAAGUUAUAUGAAUAUUUUAAAGAAGACAUCGUUAACUCGACUUAUAUUAAUAACAAAAUUGGUACAAAUAAUAGCCGUACAACAACCAGAGAUGACGUAGGUAGACGUUCCUUACAAAAUAAUAAUAAUAAUAAUAAUAAUAAUAAUAAUAAUAAUAACAGCACUAUAAAAAUUAUUCUUUCCUUUAUUAACAUGUUUAACGAUACCAUAUUAGAAUAUUCUAAAAUAAGAAUGAUAUACAGAAAUAAAAAAAUAGAAGAAUUAAUAGCUUUUCCAUUAUAUGAAACAUUAAAGCCAUUUUUUUUUAUGAAUACAUCAUAUGGAAAUGAUGGUAUGACAAAUAAAAAUGAAGAUAAUACAAGCAGUGAUGAAGAAACAAUAGAUUAUUACAGAGAAGACGGAACAACAUCCAUAGCGACAAAAACAGAAGAGGACACUGAUAUGGAAGCUGGAGAAAAAGAAAAAAACAAAAUUAGUAACAGAGGAGAUAGUAAAAAACGGUAAUAUUGAUGAAAAUAAAAACAGUAGACAAACUGAUUUAAAGAGCA
Long non-coding RNA from Piliocolobus tephrosceles (Ugandan red Colobus), 1633 nucleotides. The record is from Ensembl. NCBI's taxonomy places the organism in Eukaryota, Metazoa, Chordata, Mammalia, Primates, Cercopithecidae.